AGGGAAUCUUCCACAAUGGACGCAAGUCUGAUGGAGCAACGCCGCGUGAGUGAAGAAGGUUUUCGGACCGUAAAGCUCUGUUGUUGGUGAAGAAGGAUAGAGGUAGUAACUGGCCUUUAUUUGACGGUAAUCAACCAGAAAGUCACGGCUAACUACGUGCCAGCAGCCGCGGUAAUACGUAGGUGGCAAAGCGUUGUCCGGAUUUAUUGGGCG
RNAcentral lists this ribosomal RNA (213 nucleotides) under uncultured bacterium. Its description in RNAcentral is "partial 16S ribosomal RNA". It matches the Rfam family "Bacterial small subunit ribosomal RNA", at positions 356 to 560 of the family's 1533-position model. The record is from RNAcentral.